RNAcentral lists this ribosomal RNA (274 nucleotides) under uncultured bacterium. RNAcentral's name for it is "partial 16S ribosomal RNA". It matches the Rfam family "Bacterial small subunit ribosomal RNA", at positions 524 to 796 of the family's 1533-position model. The record is from RNAcentral.
UACGUAGGGGGCGAGCGUUGUCCGGAAUCAUUGGGCGUAAAGAGCUCGUAGGCGGCUUAGCAAGUCGGGUGUGAAACCCCCAGGCUCAACCUGGGGACGCCACCCGAUACUGCUAUAGCUAGAGUCCAGUAGGGGAGUGUGGAAUUCCCGGUGUAGCGGUGAAAUGCGCAGAUAUCGGGAGGAACACCAGCGGCGAAGGCGGCACUCUGGGCUGGUACUGACGCUGAGGAGCGAAAGCGUGGGUAGCGAACAGGAUUAGAAACCCCCGUAGUCC